This 621-nucleotide ribosomal RNA is filed under the name uncultured bacterium. RNAcentral describes it as "bacterial SSU rRNA". The stretch from base 1 to 540 matches the Rfam family "Bacterial small subunit ribosomal RNA", at positions 338 to 873 of the family's 1533-position model. The record is from RNAcentral.
CCUACGGGAGGCAGCAGUGGGGAAUUUUGGACAAUGGGCGCAAGCCUGAUCCAGCCAUGCCGCGUGCGGGAAGAAGGCCUUCGGGUUGUAAACCGCUUUUGUCAGGGAAGAAAUCCUUUGGGCUAAUACCUCGGAGGGAUGACGGUACCUGAAGAAUAAGCACCGGCUAACUACGUGCCAGCAGCCGCGGUAAUACGUAGGGUGCGAGCGUUAAUCGGAAUUACUGGGCGUAAAGCGUGCGCAGGCGGUUAUGCAAGACAGAUGUGAAAUCCCCGGGCUUAACCUGGGAACUGCAUUUGUGACUGCAUAGCUCGAGUACGGCAGAGGGGGAUGGAAUUCCGCGUGUAGCAGUGAAAUGCGUAGAUAUGCGGAGGAACACCGAUGGCGAAGGCAAUCCCCUGGGCCUGUACUGACGCUCAUGCGCGAAAGCGUGGGGAGCAAACAGGAUUAGAUACCCUGGUAGUCCACGCCCUAAACGAUGUCAACUGGUUGUUGGACGGCUUGCUGUUCAGUAACGAGCUAACGNGUGAGUUGACCGCGUGGGUAAGGUACGGCGCGAGUAGUUAACGUUACGAAGAGAGUUGCGGCGNGAGAGNGCGACGGACGACGACGAGGAGGAGG